RNAcentral lists this long non-coding RNA (410 nucleotides) under Nicotiana benthamiana. RNAcentral describes it as "long non-coding RNA (NBEN_LNC006901)". The record is from RNAcentral. Lineage: Eukaryota; Viridiplantae; Streptophyta; Magnoliopsida; Solanales; Solanaceae.
UUUUUUCCUCGCUUAUUUAAUUGUAUUGUUCAUUACUUAAUAUUAUUAAACUGUGAGAAAUUUUUUUAACAAAUUAUCAGUUUAAUAUAAUACAAUGUAAAUUUGUAUUACUCUUGAAAUUUAACUUGAGGGGUUGCUCUGAUGGUAAGCAACCUCCACUUCCAACCGAGAGGUUGUGAGUUCGAGUCUCCCCAAGAGCAAGGUGGGAAGUUCUUGGAGGGAAGGAUGCCGGGGUCUAUUCGGAAACAGCCUCUCUACCCCAGGGUAGGGGUAAGGUCUGUUGGUGUUUGCUUGACUUUUUGUUUUGUUUUAUAAACAACAAGUUGUUCAGAUUUUGAAGUAAGACCCAACUUAAUCUCUCUUUUUUCAAAAAUAAAUCGACAAUACCUUCAAUCGCAAUUCUCCAAGAC